UGACAAGGUUCAUGAAUCAACGGAACUGCUGCAAGACAGUGAUAUCGAAACAGAAGACAAGAUACUCAAAGAACAAAACAAUGGAGAAAUUGAAAUCGAGGCUAUCACUAACAGUACCUCGGAAAGGAAGAAGGUUUCCAAGGCAACGACCUAUAGGAAUCUUGUUGCUCUUAGUUUUGCAUUCACUUACAACUUCACGGCUUUUGAUUCCUUUUCGAACGUACAAAGUUCCAUUAACAAGGAAGAAGGUCUAGGCACUACUGGACUAUCACUCAUUUAUGUUGUAGUGAUUUUGGCUAACUUAUUUCUUUCUCCUGUUAUACUGUCAAAGUUUAGUUACAAAUGGAUUAUGGUGUUUUCUGUCCUAACCUAUGCCGUGUUCAUGGCGACGGGAUUCUAUACCACGUGGGCAACAGUCGUACCAGGGUCGUUUAUUAUCGGUUUCGCACAGAUAUGGGGAACUCUUGUUGCAUCGAUCGUAUUACGAAAGGAGUCAGGAAACUCAACAGCAGAGUUCGAAAGUUGUGUUGCUCGAUUUUGUCCAUUUGACCAGCACAAAUCCGGGGCAAUUGAACGACCUCCAAAACAUAAGAUUUUCAUAUACACAGGAUUCUGUGUUGGAAUGUCAAGUUUUGGGGCCAUAGUUAUUGCAUUGUUUCUGACAAAUUCAAAAACGGAAACUGAUAACCGAGACGGAUCUUGCAAAAAUAUCCGUAGAGUUGGAGCCGUUAUGGUAAAGUCAAUGGACUUGUAGUUGUUAAUUGUACCAGCUAUGAGUUCCGGUGUACUCUCUAUCUUCUUCGCUCCGGACUUCACGGCGGCAUUCGUGAGUUGCCCAUUUGGCGUGGAAAACGUCGGAGUAACUGUGAUGACAUACGGCGUUGUGCUUACAGUAUUUACGUUUAUCAAUGGACGUCUUGCAAAAGUAACUGGCCAGUACAUAAUAUUCUUAAUAGG
Molecule: long non-coding RNA, 957 nt
Organism: Mya arenaria
Lineage: Eukaryota; Metazoa; Mollusca; Bivalvia; Myida; Myidae
Exons: 4
Source: RefSeq, a predicted model, not a curated record